This is a non-coding RNA of Caretta caretta (loggerhead turtle), 4013 nucleotides long. The record is from RefSeq and is a predicted model, not a curated record. NCBI's taxonomy places the organism in Eukaryota, Metazoa, Chordata, Testudines, Cheloniidae.
UUGUCCUACCACCUGGUGGUGUGAUCCUGUCUUACUUUACAGGCUGGGCCGGUGCUUGGAUGACACCUCUAACGCACAGUGCAGCUGGUGACUGAGAAGAUGGUGAAUAAUACUGAGCCUUUGUCCAGAGUGGUGUUCAGCGGGCUCUGCUGCAGGUGCUGUUUGAUAAGACAGAGAAAUGGAACCUUGGCUCUUCGUGCUCAUUGUAUGAUGCUUUUUCACAAGGGUAACAAUAUUCAACCUUGUAUCCUGGUGAUAGCCCAACUUAGGGUGCCAUAAUUUCCUCUGCAACAUCUCUCUUUUUCUCAGCCCUGCAUCUUGGGGAUGUUUAGCAUGGAUAUGAGCUUUACGUAGCUUGCACUGGCUAGUGCAGGCUUUGUACAUCCUAUAAAGGCCAGCAGGUACUGUUUCUAACUAUAAGCCAAAUUCUACACCCACAUGCAUGGAUGCAGUUCCUAAUGAAGACAAUGGGAGCUGCAUCAGUAGACGGAAUUUGACUUGAAAUAAUUAACUCCCCAACGAUACUCAACGAUACCAUUUCUUGGUAAUGCCAUGUGAACAAAAUGAAAUGGGAUUUUCCAGCUCAAGCUGCUCCUGAGAGAGGAGAAACCCAAACAGAGAAAUGAACCACCCUAUUUUUCUUUCCUUGGCUGCUCUUAACUCUCUAACCGUCUAGUUUGCUUCAAACCUUCCAGAAACUUGAGUCCUUCCCAUGGCAUUAGAUUUUGCUUAAAGCAUAAACUAGGCACCAGCACCCUUGUCUAUGCUGGUCCACUCUUGGCAUGUCCUUGGUGUUAGUUUUUACCUUUGCUUUGAGUACUGCUUGGUGGAGGGAUUCUUUUGAUCAGUCUCUUCUGUGUGUUCCUCCAGCUUCCCAAGGGCACACCUACACAUGCGGAAAAUAAUGUCUGAAAUUUGGGGUGGAUUUUGAUUUGAUAGAAUGGAAAACUUCCCACAACAUUAAUUGCGCAGAAACUAGCAUCUCUUCCCUCAUCUCCUCCAGUUUCUGGAAUCUAAGAUAAUUGCCUUUGUGAGCACCACAGACGUACAUUACUUACUGCUCUCCUUGCAAUUCAGGUGCCAAUGCAUUGGUAUCUCAGAAUACGGUCCUGCCAUGGCUGUGAAAGUGCAGAAAAAGAACUGUGAUGUGAUUUGAGACAUGAUCAGCAGAGGGCAGUGUUUCAUAAUGCAGAGCAGAAAGGCUGUCUCAAUGGAAAGCAAAGGUAUAUUAAGACCCUAUCUUAGAUUGGGGUACACGGUAGACUACAUGUUUUGGAAGAGGUACGAAGCCUAAGAAGUUUGAAAACCACUGUCCUAGAAACUACAUUGUGGAGGACAUUCCAGUGCAGAUCAGAUAUUUCUGCCUACGCUGAUGUGGCUUUUGGUGCUGUAUUUGGGGCAUCUCCCUGGCUUCUACAGUUCAUAGCACUUUGCAAAUAUUUACCCUCACCAAGUCCCCUGGGAGGUAUGACCCCAUGACACAGGAAUGGAGAUGUGGCGUGGCCCGCCUGAGCGAAGGCAAACGAGACAUGGGCGUAGCAGAGCUGGGCGGCUAUCUGUACUGUGUAGGAGGCCGUGAUGGGAUGGUACACCUCAGCACUGUGGAAAAGUAUCGGAACCCGUGUGCGGAUGGACAUAACUUUCAUGGACUGUGCUCUGUAGGACUGCCAAUGUCUGAGUUCAUAGUGAACAACUGGGAUUGUUACAGCCACUGAAGUUGCCGUCUUGGCUAGAGAGCUUUUGUUUAAUAUGGAGAGAGGUGUCAAUGUUGACUCGAUGUCCUCCACAGCCAUGAGGCACCCAAUCUCCGCCAAUCAGGGGAGCUGGGACAUGGAGGAUUCUGGUUUGUAAUUCACCAGAUGGCCAGCGGUCUGCUCUCCUGUCUGGGUGCUGGUCGGAACCUGUUCUGUAGGCAGAGGGCUUAGGUCUCCUGGGCUCUUCAAUCUGACACCUUUCGCCAGCACUAAAUUCUCCUGUUUUGAUUUCUGAAAGGGCACAGAUCCCCCAGCCAAAGGACAGAGGAGGGCAAACAGGGCUUGUCUGAUAGGGAUUGUGAGUGGAAACGUGUGUAUCCUGUUCUCAGGGGGCCUUGUAUAGAGACAGGCUGAAUUCCAGACACCCUGCUCGUAACUUAGCCCAGAAAGAAGCUCUCAUGUGCCGUACCUGGGACAGUCUGGGGCAUUCUCUUGUUUUAGGUAUGAUCCUGGUGGGAACAGGUGGUGCAAGAUGGCACCCACGGGCUUAGGGAUGGCAGUGCUAGACGGCUACGUCUAUGCUAUCGGGGGCUCGGAUGGCCAGUCUCCGCUGUAUUCAGGUAACAGAGAUAAGUUGGCAGAGCAAUGAGCCCCUGUCUCAGAGGAGUGUAUGAUUCCCAUUGAUGCCCACACCAAUAUAUUUGGCCUUGGGGCUCUAUGGCAAUUUAGUCUCUCUCCACUGCUCUGCCUCCCUGCCCUUCCCCCCAAAAGCAGAGGGAGCCCUCCGCCACCUGGAGAGAAUGAGGAAGCUGGCCCAAGCAAGCAGAGCCCCCGGCGCCAUCCCCACUUUCCCUCCAGUGACACCUCCAGCAUGGAGUCAGAGAUGGUUCCAUGUUGCCCAUGCUCAGACCUGGCCACCCUUUGCUGCUCCCCAAUUAUGAAUCCUUUCCACUGUUCAAUCCGUUUAACGGAGGCCCAGGCGGGCAGCCUCCUAGCUGUCUGAUCCCUGGGGGUGUGUGGAUUUUUUUUGUUAACUUCUUGUGCGUCAGUAACAAAGCUUAGCUGCUGGGUGCUUUUAAUCUUCAAAGCAUUUUGCAGCCAUUAUUGACUCAGUCCUCUCAGUGUCCCUGUGAGGUAAGCGAGUUUUAUUUUCCCUAUUAGAUAGUGGGGAAACUGGGGCACAGAGUGAUUGAGAGAUUGGCCCAAGCUCCCAGAAGUAAAUCUAAGAUUUACCAAAGGACACAAGGGCCAGAGUUGGGAUUAGAACCCAGGAUCUUGUGGCUCUUUCCUGGGCAUCUUUCUUCUGGUUUCUCUCCCAGUGGAACGUUACAAUCCAGAGGAGGAUGCAUGGUCUUCUUGUUCUCCCUUGGGCACCUACAGAGAGAAUUUUGGCUGUGCUACGCUUCAAGGGAAAAUCUACACUGUCAGUGGCCACGAUGACUUCACGGAGCUCUGCAGUGCUGAGCGGUUUGAUCCAGUCACCAAUGAAUGGUCACCGAUGAUGCCCAUGAAAUCAAAGAGGAAUAAGGUAUUGCAUGCGAACAGUCUUUUACACUCCUCAAGCUUCCAUCCAAGGAUCCUGUAGUGCUUUGCGAUGGGGGUCUAGUUCAUUAUUACUCCCACAUCACAGGUGGGGUGUGGAUAUCACUGUGCUGGGACAGUAUAGGAACCUAAGCGCAACAGAUGGAGAAACCAAGGCACAGAGCAGGGAACUGACUUGCUCAAGACCACGCAGAAAGUCAGAACCAGAACGCUGUUUCCAGCCCAUUAGAUUGGUCCGGUUUUGUGCCGGUGGUCUUGGGUUAACGUUACAAUGUUACCCAACUCCGAUGCCCUUCCUUCUCCAUCCACCCUGCCAGACAUACCCUCCUCCUCAGAAAAAGGCUGGAGAAAGAGACAGGGUGUGCAGCAAGACCUGAAGGUCUCCAGAUCUGGGCUGGAGGAAUGAAUUCCAGAGUCGGUUGCCCCUCACCAAGAGCACCUUCUUCUCUCCCAUUGAAUCUGGAGACAUGACAGCUCAGGUAACCCGGACCCAAAUAAUUCAGGGUGCAGAUAAACCUCCAAGUCCUCAAAUUUCAUUCGGAGAUCAAUCAUCAGCCAGUUUGGGACACAUAGGGCAGAUAGAGUGUGUUCCCAAUGGGAACCACAACUGAACAGUUGGAUAUGGAGUACAGUGCCCAGGAAGAAGCAGCAAAAAAUAUUGUGAGUUUAAUAAUUUAUAAAUUUCUUUUGUAUUAGUUACCUCAUCCAAAUGAGGUUACCUUUUGGUUUCUUCCUGCUGGGGAAAGGAUAUUUGUUCCGGUGUAUUUUCUCUUCUGC